CGCGAUCGAUCAGAGUUUGAUCCUGGCUCAGGAUGAACGCUGACAGAAUGCUUAACACAUGCAAGUCGAGGGGCAGCAUGAAUAUUGGCUUGCCAAUAUUUGAUGGCGACCGGCGCACGGGUGAGUAACACGUAUCCAACCUUCCGGUUACUCGGGGAUAGGCUUUCGAAAGAAAGAUUAAUACCCGAUGUUGCGUAUCUUUCUCCUGAAAGAUACGCCAAAGGAUUCCGGUAACCGAUGGGGAUGCGUUCCAUUAGGCAGUUGGCGGGGUAACGGCCCACCAAACCUUCGAUGGAUAGGGGUUCUGAGAGGAAGGUCCCCCACAUUGGAACUGAGACACGGUCCAA
Molecule: ribosomal RNA, 347 nt
Filed under: uncultured bacterium
Lineage: Bacteria
Description: bacterial SSU rRNA
Rfam family: Bacterial small subunit ribosomal RNA
Source: RNAcentral